This is a ribosomal RNA of Bison bison bison, 120 nucleotides long. The record is from Ensembl. Lineage: Eukaryota; Metazoa; Chordata; Mammalia; Artiodactyla; Bovidae.
GUCUCAGGCCGUAUCAGCCUGAAGGCGCCUGAUCUCGUCUGAUCUCGGAAGCUAAGCAGGGUCGGGCCUGGUUAGGAUCUUGGAUGGGAGACCACCUGGGAAUCCCGGGUGCUCGAGGCU